RNAcentral lists this ribosomal RNA (1347 nucleotides) under uncultured bacterium. RNAcentral describes it as "bacterial SSU rRNA". It matches the Rfam family "Bacterial small subunit ribosomal RNA", at positions 28 to 1381 of the family's 1533-position model. The record is from RNAcentral.
GACGAACGCUGGCGGCGUGCUUAACACAUGCAAGUCGAACGAUGAAGCCUAGCUUGCUAGGUGGAUUAGUGGCGAACGGGUGAGUAAUACGUGAGUAACCUACCUUUAACUCUGGGAUAAGCCUGGGAAACUGGGUCUAAUACCGGAUACGACCAAUCUCCGCAUGGGGUGUUGGUGGAAAGCGUUAUGUAGUGGUUAUAGAUGGGCUCACGGCCUAUCAGCUUGUUGGUGAGGUAACGGCUCACCAAGGCGACGACGGGUAGCCGGCCUGAGAGGGUGACCGGCCACACUGGGACUGAGACACGGCCCAGACUCCUACGGGAGGCAGCAGUGGGGAAUAUUGCACAAUGGGCGCAAGCCUGAUGCAGCGACGCCGCGUGAGGGAUGACGGCCUUCGGGUUGUAAACCUCUGUUAGCAGGGAAGAAGAGAGAUUGACGGUACCUGCAGAGAAAGCGCCGGCUAACUACGUGCCAGCAGCCGCGGUAAUACGUAGGGCGCGAGCGUUGUCCGGAAUUAUUGGGCGUAAAGAGCUUGUAGGCGGUUUGUCGCGUCUGCUGUGAAGGCCGGGGCUUAACCCCGUGUAUUGCGGUGGGUACGGGCAGACUAGAGUGCAGUAGGGGAGACUGGAAUUCCUGGUGUAGCGGUGGAAUGCGCAGAUAUCAGGAGGAACACCGAUGGCGAAGGCAGGUCUCUGGGCUGUAACUGACGCUGAGAAGCGAAAGCAUGGGGAGCGAACAGGAUUAGAUACCCUGGUAGUCCAUGCCGUAAACGUUGGGCACUAGGUGUGGGGGACAUUCCACGUUUUCCGCGCCGUAGCUAACGCAUUAAGUGCCCCGCCUGGGGAGUACGGCCGCAAGGCUAAAACUCAAAGAAAUUGACGGGGGCCCGCACAAGCGGCGGAGCAUGCGGAUUAAUUCGAUGCAACGCGAAGAACCUUACCAAGGCUUGACAUAUACUGGACCGCAUCAGAGAUGGUGUUUCCCUUCGGGGCUGGUAUACAGGUGGUGCAUGGUUGUCGUCAGCUCGUGUCGUGAGAUGUUGGGUUAAGUCCCGCAACGAGCGCAACCCUCGUUCUAUGUUGCCAGCACGUUAUGGUGGGGACUCAUAGGAGACUGCCGGGGUCAACUCGGAGGAAGGUGGGGAUGACGUCAAAUCAUCAUGCCCCUUAUGUCUUGGGCUUCACGCAUGCUACAAUGGCCGGUACAGAGGGUUGCGAUACUGUGAGGUGGAGCUAAUCCCUAAAAGCCGGUCUCAGUUCGGAUUGGGGUCUGCAACUCGACCCCAUGAAGUCGGAGUCGCUAGUAAUCGCAGAUCAGCAACGCUGCGGUGAAUGCGUUCCCGGGCCU